UCGAUUUCUAUUUGCUUUUUCUCUUUUCUCUCUGUCUGAGCCUCGCGCAGUGCAUCUGACCUCUGACCUCAACUCCUCAAACCUGUCCUCCCAUGGACCAGAUGAUGUCCCUCCUACAAAAGCAGCCGAUGAAAAUGAUCGAGAAGGUCUGGAGGAUCAAGAAGACAGAAAAGACCUCCAACACCUCCAGGGGACAACUGUCAGUCUCCUGUUGGGCAUUUGGACUGAAAACUGUGUGAAACUGAGCUUUAACAACCUCUGCUGGUCUGCUGUCCAGUAUCAGCGUAGAGGAAGAAAAGCUAAACAUGCUUCAGAGCUGUGAGAGAAGACGACUGGCGAGUGACCAAAGCGGAGAGUGAAGAUUUACACUUUUCUGACAGGAGAUUGUUCUGGAAGCUGUGGCCUUGUGGCAGCAUGUCACCACGGCACACACUCUCUGAUCCUUCAGCGGCCCGGCGAUCCCUGGAGCCCAAAGGGAAGUAGGGCACUGGAGGUGAAGCAGGAUGAGUCAGGAAAACUGUCUUCCAUGUGGAUGACAUUCCUCAAAUUCCAAAUUCCUGCAUUUGGAGUUGGAGCUUUUGAAGAAUGCGGCGGCCCUGCUUAAUGAAGCCCCCGCGCCGCGGCUUCUCUCUAAUUAGUCGACUCCAGUAAUGGCCGGAAUCUGCCGUCAAACAAAGCAGCUGAAUACCUGAUGGCUACCAAUCAUGCUCUCUUCUUAUUCAUGGGAAAAAUACCAGGAACUUUUAUUUCGCUGACUGUCACGGCCCCAAUUAGGAGGGACG
This is a non-coding RNA of Poecilia reticulata (guppy), 782 nucleotides long. NCBI's taxonomy places the organism in Eukaryota, Metazoa, Chordata, Actinopteri, Cyprinodontiformes, Poeciliidae. The record is from RefSeq and is a predicted model, not a curated record.